UGUGGGAGCGAGCUUGCUCGCGAUAGCGGUGGGUCAGUCACAGUAAUGUUGGAUGUGCUGCCGUCAUCGCGAGCAAGCUCGCUCCCACA
RNAcentral lists this unclassified non-coding RNA (89 nucleotides) under Pseudomonas brassicacearum. The record is from RNAcentral. Lineage: Bacteria; Pseudomonadati; Pseudomonadota; Gammaproteobacteria; Pseudomonadales; Pseudomonadaceae.